ACCGCAGCCCAUCGCUGUAGCCGGCCUGGUAGCAGGGGCACGGCCGGCAGCAGCAAGCCGGAGGCGGUUCUGGGAUCUUUGGCCGGCACGGUUCGGGUGGUGGCGGAGCCGGUGCGGGCGGAGGUGGAGGAGCCGGUUCGGGAGGAGGUGGCGGCGGCGGAGCCGGUUCGGGAGGAGGUGGUGGCGGUGGCGGCGGAGCCGGUUCGGGCGGAGGAGGGGGCGGUGGAGCCGGUUCGGGCGGAGGCGGGGGCGGUGGAGCCGGUUCCGGAGGAGGCGGGGGCGGCGGAGCCGGUUCGGGCGGAGGCGGUGGCGGAGGUGGGGGUGGUUCGGGCGGCUUGAUUUUGAUGUCUUUGAUGACCUUGCAGGCCUUGCACCGGAGCUUCUUGGAGAGGCAGUGAGGGUCGAAGGGGCCGGA
This 415-nucleotide long non-coding RNA is filed under the name Elaeis guineensis (African oil palm). Its description in RNAcentral is "long non-coding RNA (EGUI_LNC003098)". Lineage: Eukaryota; Viridiplantae; Streptophyta; Magnoliopsida; Arecales; Arecaceae. The record is from RNAcentral.